Non-coding RNA from Amborella trichopoda, 99 nucleotides. NCBI's taxonomy places the organism in Eukaryota, Viridiplantae, Streptophyta, Magnoliopsida, Amborellales, Amborellaceae. The record is from Rfam.
CAAAAAUGGGAGCUCCUUUGAGGACAAAGAAAGCACUUUGGAUCGUCUUUUUGCUCAUUGAAGAGUCAUCCUUUGGACUGAAGGGAGCUCCUAAUUCUU